AGCUUUGUGCAGUAGCAGUAUUGUAGCCAAUGAGGUUUAUCCAAGGCACGAUUAUUGCUAAUUGAAAACUAUUGUAGGAAAUUUUAAGUAGACAUUUAACAGUGUGAUUCCAUAUUAUCACUAACAAUUAGGAAAGUGCAAACCAA
Rattus norvegicus (Norway rat) is the source of this 146-nucleotide small nuclear RNA. Ensembl annotates it as U4 spliceosomal RNA. The record is from Ensembl. NCBI's taxonomy places the organism in Eukaryota, Metazoa, Chordata, Mammalia, Rodentia, Muridae.